This 469-nucleotide ribosomal RNA is filed under the name uncultured bacterium. Its description in RNAcentral is "bacterial SSU rRNA". It matches the Rfam family "Bacterial small subunit ribosomal RNA", at positions 28 to 507 of the family's 1533-position model. The record is from RNAcentral.
GACGAACGCUGGCGGCGUGCCUGACACAUGCAAGUCGGACGGUUCUUGCGCCUUCAAGCUUGCUUGUUGGUUCGAGGAUAGUGGCGGACGGGUGAGUAACGCGUGAACACCUACCCAUUGGAGGGGUACAACCCGUCGAAAGGCGGGCUAAUACCGCGUAAGCCGUGAGGUGAAAGGCUGCCUUUUGGUGGCUGCCGACGGAUGGGUUCGCGUCCUAUCAGCUUGUUGGUGGGGUAAGGGCCUACCAAGGCUAAGACGGGUAGCCGGUCUGAGAGGAUGGCCGGCCACACUGGAACUGAGACACGGUCCAGACUCCUACGGGAGGCAGCAGUGGGGAAUAUUGGGCAAUGGGGGGAACCCUGACCCAGCGACGCCGCGUGAGGGACGAAGGUUUUCGGAUCGUAAACCUCUGUUGUACGGGAAGAAGGAUGUGACGGUACCGUACGAGUAAGCCCCGGCAAACUACGUG